RNAcentral lists this ribosomal RNA (255 nucleotides) under uncultured bacterium. Its description in RNAcentral is "partial 16S ribosomal RNA". It matches the Rfam family "Bacterial small subunit ribosomal RNA", at positions 524 to 776 of the family's 1533-position model. The record is from RNAcentral.
UACGGAGGGGGCUAGCGUUGUUCGGAAUGACUGGGCGUAAAGGGCGCGUAGGCGGCGAUCCAAGUUAGAUGUGAAAAGGCCUGGGCUCAACCCGGGAACUGCAUUUGAUACUGGGAUUGCUUGAGUCCGGGAGAGGAUGGCGGAAUUCCCAGUGUAGAGGUGAAAUUCGUAGAUAUUGGGAAGAACACCAGUGGCGAAGGCGGCCAUCUGGACCGGUACUGACGCUGAGGAGCGAAAGCGUGGGGAGCGAACAGG